ACCCUUUAAUGUUUGAUGUUCUAACGUGGACCCGUGAUCCGGGUUGCGGACAGUGUCUGGUGGGUAGUUUGACUGGGGCGGUCUCCUCCUAAAGAGUAACGGAGGAGCACGAAGGUUGGCUAAUCCUGGUCGGACAUCAGGAGGUUAGUGCAAUGGCAUAAGCCAGCUUGACUGCGAGCGUGACGGCGCGAGCAGGUGCGAAAGCAGGUCAUAGUGAUCCGGUGGUUCUGAAUGGAAGGGCCAUCGCUCAACGGAUAAAAGGUACUCCGGGGAUAACAGGCUGAUACCGCCCAAGAGUUCAUAUCGACGGCGGUGUUUGGCACCUCGAUGUCGGCUCAUCACAUCCUGGGGCUGAAGUAGGUCCCAAGGGUAUGGCUGUUCGCCAUUUAAAGUGGUACGCGAGCUGGGUUUAGAACGUCGUGAGACAGUUCGGUCCCUAUCUGCCGUGGGCGCUGGAGAACUGAGGGGGGCUGCUCCUAGUACGAGAGGACCGGAGUGGACGCAUCACUGGUGUUCGGGUUGUCAUGCCAAUGGCACUGCCCGGUAGCUAAAUGCGGAAGAGAUAAGUGCUGAAAGCAUCUAAGCACGAAACUUGCCCCGAGAUGAGUUCUCCCUGAGACUUAAAGUCUCCUGAAGGAACGUUGAAGACGACGA
This 654-nucleotide ribosomal RNA is filed under the name Salmonella enterica. RNAcentral describes it as "partial 23S ribosomal RNA". It matches the Rfam family "Bacterial large subunit ribosomal RNA", at positions 2202 to 2850 of the family's 2925-position model. Lineage: Bacteria; Pseudomonadati; Pseudomonadota; Gammaproteobacteria; Enterobacterales; Enterobacteriaceae. RNAcentral also lists the same sequence under 1 other name. The record is from RNAcentral.